RNAcentral lists this ribosomal RNA (253 nucleotides) under uncultured bacterium. RNAcentral describes it as "partial 16S ribosomal RNA". It matches the Rfam family "Bacterial small subunit ribosomal RNA", at positions 524 to 776 of the family's 1533-position model. The record is from RNAcentral.
UACGGAGGGUGCAAGCAUUAAUCGGAUUUAUUGGGCGUAAAGGGCGCGUAGGCGGGUUUGUAAGUCAGAUGUGAAAUUCCGAAGCUCGGCUUCGGAGCUGCAUUUGAAACUACAAGUCUAGAGGAGUGGCGGAGAAAAUGGAAUUCCCCGUGUAGCGGUGAAAUGCGUAGAUAUGUGGAAGAACACCAGUGGCGAAAGCGGUUUUCUAGCUUAUUCCUGACGCUGAGGCGCGAGAGCAAGGUGAGCAAACAGG